AGAGUUCGAUCAUGGCUCAGGAUGAACGCUGGCGGCGUGCUUAACACAUGCAAGUCGAACGGAGAGCUAAUGACAGAGGAUUCGUCCAAUGGAAUUAGUUUCUUAGUGGCGGACGGGUGAGUAACGCGUGAGGAACCUGCCUUGGAGUGGGGAAUAACAGUUGGAAACAGCUGCUAAUACCGCAUAAUGCAGUUGAGUCGCAUGGCUCUGACUGCCAAAGAUUUAUCGCUCUGAGAUGGCCUCGCGUCUGAUUAGCUAGUUGGCGGGGUAACGGCCCACCAAGGCGACGAUCAGUAGCCGGACUGAGAGGUUGGCCGGCCACAUUGGGACUGAGACACGGCCCAG
RNAcentral lists this ribosomal RNA (345 nucleotides) under uncultured bacterium. RNAcentral's name for it is "bacterial SSU rRNA". It matches the Rfam family "Bacterial small subunit ribosomal RNA", at positions 8 to 334 of the family's 1533-position model. The record is from RNAcentral.